UGGCUCAGGAGCUGGGAUUACUCCUGAGCUGGCCAAAAAACUGUUUGUUUAUAAUGAGGCUCUUCAUCGGGAUCACACUUACGUUAUUUCAAAGACUGAAUUACUGCCUUACACACUGUGUCUCUCCUCCAAAUGUAAACAAACAAGGGAAAUAUUUAUAAAAACUAUAAAUCAGUAAUAAAUGACAGCUUUUGCUUUUGUCUUUAAUAUUUGAAAUCAAGUAACUUUGUUUGAGAAAUGAAUUAUGGUACAGCAACUGAAUGAUUUGUUUGAAAAAGGGAGGCAUUCAGUAAUUGAAGUUCUACUGUAAUUUGAUUUUCAUUCUCAAUCAGUCUCAUUCUAUUUAGCAAUCAUUAGGAUUAUUCUUACUUUCACAGAGAGAGAGAGAGAGAGAGAGAGAGAGAGAGAGAGAGAGAGAGAGAGAGAGAGAGAGAGAGAGAGAGAGAGAGAGAGAGAGAGAGAGAGAGAGAGAGAGAGAGAGAGAGAGAGAGAGAGAGCUCUGAUUUAAGGCAGGAUUUACUGUAGGUAUACGUGUGAUGCUAACAGCAGGUAAAUGUGACCAUGACCGAUACUUGUCAAAGCAAUGUAAAACUCGAGGUGAUAAUGUGCAUAACUCAGGAUGGGAAGAAUUUAGGACUAGGUGUGAAACUCGUGAGGGUACUGUAUGUAUACUUGUUGUCUUAUCUGAAAUAUAAUAGUACAAAUGUGCUAAUUUUUUUUUUUUUUUAUUGUGGAUUUUUUACAUUAUUUUCUGAAACCAAUAAACUUUUUCUCAUAGGUUCCUCAGUCACCAUAAGGCACGUUUACCAUAACUAACACUACAUUGGAAUGAAUCAUGUUCAUUGUCACAUAUCCUGCUGUACUUUCAAUGUCAUUCCCUUUACAAGUACAUUCUGGGACCCUUUGCCUGCAUUGUAUUUCCUCUUGUUGAAGUGAGGAGUUUCACGGAAUCUUCACACCUGAAACGACUCUUUAGUAUUCUUUUCCUUUUAAAGGAGGAAAAAUGAGUGGGCCUUUUUUUCAGAAUUUGUUUCUUUGUUCAUGGGUCUUCCUCUCUUGUGCAUAAGAAAUGUAUCUCUAGCAGAAGUAAUAUGGUGCCCAUUCAACAGCUAUGACCUAACAGCUGUCUGAUCAUAAAUACAACUUUGGUACCAAUCAUGUGGUGGAAAAUAUUUUGUCUGUGCACUGCCAUGGCUACAAGAAUGUACAACAGAAAAUGCUGGGUGUGUUCAAGACCCAAGUUUGAUUUUGGUAUGACUUUCCUCAAGGAAGACUACCAAUUAAGGCUACCAAAGAACAAACUCACAUCUAUGGAUUCUGUGUCCUUGAUAAACAAAUUUUUAUUCCCUUCUAGCCUGCUUAAUUAACAUCUUGUGAAGAAAUUAUAAAUAAAAAAAAAUUCAUGCUGCUUUAAUUUUGGAAUGUGCCAUUUUUUGAGGCUGACUGCACAAUGAGAUGAAGCUUCCCUGUGAGUGCAUCUCAUGGUGGGUGGUAGAGUUGUCACACCCUAUGCCAUAUCAAAAUUAGGGCAUCUGCAAAGGUCUGAAUUGUCAGUAAUCACCAGCUGUUUUAAUGUAGGACUUAGCAUAUGGCAUAUGCUCUGGAGAUGCAUAUUCUGAAAUUGCCUCUAGUGAUACAUCUUGUUGUAUUGUAUCUAUAUGCAGCAAAAUAUUAAUCCUAAGUGUUUAUGUUAACAGCAUCCAUGGGAUCUGGUGAUACUUACUCUACAGAAGUUAUUAUAAGCUAAAGACUUAUUUCUAGUCUCUUGCUACAUAUCUAGUUUAAGACAUUUUUCCACUGGUUGCCAAAUCCCAUAAAAAAACUAAACAAGUAUUCUUUGUGCUGCAGGAAUACUGUGACAGCCAAAACUGUGCUGAGAUAAAAGGACUGGUUGACAUAAGACACACUGAUUUCUUCAAAACACCAAAAACACCUGAGGUGGGAAAUAUGAGUUUGAAGUGUUGCUGUAAAACCUUGGUCUAUACAUGUGCUGUGGUUGAUUGUACAAAAAAAUCAUGAUAGAAGGACCAAGGUGUGAAAGGAUGGGUUGUAUUUCCAAAGAAAAAAGCAACAACUCAGAGAAGACAUUGGGAGACACAAAGUACACAGACAAGCGGCACCUCUGGGAAGGCUUUGGGAGACACAAUGUACACAGACAAUCUUCAUCAGAGUCCUGCUAAGAUAUAGUAUUAAAACAAGGUUGUUUCUUUCAUAUGUGACAGGAUUUCUAAAGUUGUUUGUUAAUUGCAUAACUUGAAUGGAUAAAGUAAAUUUAUAUAGAGAGGAAAAUAACAUUCAUCCAUAUCUACUUCAUUUCUUUCACAUACAACCUGCUUCUUAUAGUAGCAUUUACAAUGCUUCUUACUACCCAGCAGUCUAAUCCCACAUUCAAAACAAAUUCAUUCAUAUUCCACCCUAUGGUGACCUAUGGUAACUCACUGGCAACCCUGUCUUCCUUAGCUGAGACUGUCAUUCUUUCUUGAGAAGUACUUCUGUGCAGACUCUGGUUCCUACAGUACUCUCAUUUUCAUUACCCAGCUGUCACUCAUUUUUCUAACCUAACUACUCCCACCCACACAUGCUUCUUCUCCCCCCCCUCCAGUCCACAAGGAACAGUGGAGCAUGAGGACACACAACUCCAGUGCCUCUUACUACCAGCACCAGAUCCACUUUGUCAGCCCACAACUUCAGUCUGUGGCAAUGGGAUCUUUGGCCACAGCACAAGAUCUUGAUCCAAGGAUCCCUGGUCCUACAUGGCCUGCAAUCUCCACCAGAAUUCCUGAUGAUCCCUGGGGAGAUGAUUCCGAGGAUGAGUCUGACACUAGAGCCAACACAGAGGAUUCAGUUCCAGUUUUCCAUACUAUGAUGGCCUACAUUACCUGAUCUUUUCCUGAGGUGCUAGGGAAUGCAUAGAAAGAUCACUGCCCAGCUCCACCUGGGAAGGUCAGGCAUCAGAGGAUCGACACAUUCGGUUCACCAGGAUGCAGCCUAUGGAUUAUUCCUUUAAUGCAGCCACCAAGGGUUCACUUCUGGAUAAUGAGGGAUCAAGGCCCUCCCUUGCCCAUUACCCAUCCAACAGGUACAAGAAGAUUUACUCUGUAAGUGGGCAUGAAUCAGUAUGGAAAGCGGCCAAGCUGAACAUGCAUUGCCCUUACUACUAGGGGUAAGGAUCUUCAGGUGGUGGUCCAGCAUGUAGACAUGACCCACCUCAAGGGAAUCUUAGCAUGCCAACUUGAGGCACAGAACUUUCUGUUCUGGGGUGUGGGUGCAUUCUACAAGCUCUUUCCAUCCCUCCAACCUGCACAAGAGGAUAUGCUUCUAGCAGAUCAACUGUUUCGGAGCAUUCAGUUUGCCAUGGUGGACACAGCAAAGGAUUCAGCUAUUGCUUUAGCUGAUAUUAAGGCCAUGAGGAGGGAGGCAAUCCUCUCUCACCUUCCACCAGCAUUUAAGUCAGAACUUGACUCUGCCUAACUGUUUGAUGAGGACAGGGUUAAGGAAACUGUUCUGGCAGCAGAUAAGGCUGCUUCCAUUUCUUUCCAGCAAGCAGCAACUCGGGCACUGGUUAAGCCAUGGCCAUCUCCGAGCACUCCUUUGGUGAAUUAUGGUUUGUGGACUAACCCUUCAGGGUCUUCUGCUUUUUGCUGGCCUGCCUACUUGCAUCACAACUUGACCUUGUCUUCAUAAGCAAGACCAACCCAAUGUCAGAAGUCUACUCCUGGAUCUCUCCCUUAUCCUCGUCCUAAGCCACCAGGCAAGUUUUUCCACAAGUAGCUCCAUGGACCCCUGGAUUCAAGUAAGAGGUUGCCUUGCUAAGAAUCUGGACAGUUGGAUUGCCAUUGAGACAGAGGCAUGGGUUUUCCCCAUCCUCAGCCAAGGUUACAAGAUCCCCUUUGCUACACCACCAUCAGUCACCUCAAAUCCCAUCAUCUCAAGAUCAUAUUCCAAGGGCUCCAAGAAGGGCAUGGCAUUAGAAUCUGAGGUUCACCUUCUAGCAAAAGGAGCAAUAGAAGAGGCAGCAGCAACUCCAGGUUUUUACAGUCACCUUUUUGUAGCAAAUAAAGCCACCAGAGGGUUUUGCCCCAUCCUUGACCUCUCCUCCCUGAACCAGUUUGUCAUCACCACUCCAAUCAGGAUGGAAUCAGUAAGGACAGUCUGUCAGCAAUUUGCAGUCAUGACUGGAUGAUGGCCAUUGAUCUCAGGAACACUUACGUCCAAAUCCCACCCAGACAGUUGCCAAUUCCUUCGUUUUGUUUGGGAUGGUUGUUACUUCCAAUUCAAGGUCCUUUGCUUUGGGCUCACCACAGCUCCACAAGUUUUCACCACAAUGAUGGGUCUGGUUUCACAGGUUUCACAUCACCAGGUAUUCGUCUCCUCCAUUAUCUGGACGACUGGUUGCUAUUGGCACCCUCAGAACAGAAGGCUCUAGAAGCAACCAGUUGCCUUCUCAAUCUGUACACUUCCAUAGGAAUUAAAGUAAAUUGUGAAAAAUCCUUGCUGACCCCCUUUUUUUAGGGAUGGAGAUUCUUUCUCCUCUAUUGAAGGUUUUCCUGACACAGCAGUGCCUGGACAAUCUUCAGCACCAAAUCAAAUCCUUUCUGUGUUCAAGCUCCCCCAGCAAGAGCACGGUUAAUGCUCUUGGACCACAUGUCCUCUCUUAUCCAUUUGAUUCCUGGGGUGAGACAGAGAAUGAGAGGCCUCCAGUUACACCUUUCCUGGUCAUGGAACUGACAGUUCCAGUGAGACGACCUUCCAGUUCCCUGAGAUGGCAAAGUUCUAAACAAUCUUUAAUGAUGGUCACCGGAUUCCAAUCUACAAAUAGGACAGUUGGCCUCUCCAGAAGCCAACUCACACACAGACUAAGAAGCACGCUCUACAUAUCAAUCUCCUCCCAGCAAGCACACCACGCUAUUUUCAUGUAGCGUCAAAGUGAAAAGGUGAAUUUUAUUUUCUAUAUAAGGGACACAUGGUAUACAUGGUGAAAAGUCAUCAACCUAACAAAGCUAUUGGGUGUUGCUUGUAUUAUGAAUGUUAAUACUUUUGUGCGAUGAUGAUACAGAACCUCACUAAAUACACUGUAAUUUACUCUUUACAAUGUGGUUGUUAAAUGUAUCAUAUUGCUAUAAUGUCUUGUUUCACUAUCGACUUCUGUUUUGUUAGGCAAAAAUUAAUGAAUUAAGAGCACCAAAGCAAGAUUUCACUGAAGACCGCAUCACAUGGGAAAUUUCUCCCAAUAUGUUAGUCAGGUUUGUUCUUUUCUGUUGUUCAUCACCUGAACAACUAUAAAGGAUUGAGUGAAAACUUAUAGAAAAAUUAUAUUAGUAAUUACAACUAUUAGAUUUUUUUAUGAGCUGACAGAAGCAACCAACUGAUCGCCACAGCUUUAAUUGUAGGCUAUUUAUUUGUCCUUAUAGGUUAAUUUCUUAUAAUUUUUAUAUUCCUUUGGGGAAGCUAGUUUAUCACUGUUACAGACAGAUGAAAAUUCCACCUGGAUCUCCUUUUGAUUACAUGUAAACUUAAAGGAAUCUUAAAAGACUAACCAAUUACACCUCUGUUUCCAGACUGUUUGACAUAAGAUGUGCAUGCAUGUCUGUGCAUUUGUGUGCUUUUUAUGCUUAUAUGUUUUUUUCAGUUUUACAGGAGUGAACAGGAAGAGCAGAAGCUAGAAUAAGCAAAAUAAAUACACACAUAGAAUGGAUAAAGCGUUAAAAGCGAUAUAAGAAGAGGAAGAAGACCUUGGACACAAGCCACUGACCAAUAUUCACAAGAUACCAACUGACUGGAGAAGCCAUACUGGGCAUGCAAGUGCUUUUUUGAGGAAAUAAAACUUCAGAAAGCUGGCAGCCUUGGAUAGCAGUGUGGCAGUUCCAAAGCACCUCAAUCAACAACUUAUAAACACUGUAUUUGUCAUCUUUAGGAAAGCACAGCCUUGGAGACAGUUUGUAGGAUUUUUAAAAAGCUUGAGAGCAGUGGUGUGGGGUAAUCAGACAGCUUGAAGGGAAAGAAGGGAAAGCUAGCAUUUACUGAUCCUCCUAUCUGCAAAGUUGUCAUCAGAACCUGAGCCUAAGAGACACAAGUGUUUAGUACAAGGGUCAUCAGAUUCUGAUGACUAGCCACAGUUGAAAUAAGGGCAGAUGCCAAGAUGCACAGUGCCCUGCAGUAUGAGGCAAUCCACCUGCACACUCCUGUCCUCAUCCUUCCAGCUCUGUGCCAGUGCCAAUUCUACUUCACUCCAAAGUAUCACUGAUUUCCCUCUUCUCAUGUACUAGGUGAAAUUUAUAUUCUUUUUAAAAUUUGUAAUAUAUUUUAAAAUUUAUUUUAUUUCUGCACUGUUACCAGGAGAGGCGCAGAGAUCAUUCUUUCUUUACCAUGCACUAUAAGGCACUCUCUCUCUCUCUCUCUCUCUCUCUCUCUCUCUCUCUCUCUCUCUCUCUCUCUCUCUCUCUCUCUCUCUCUCUCUCUCUCAAGUUAGGGAAGAUGUUCCUUUCCCUGAAUGUUUUGUUUUUGCCUGUGCUUUACCUAGUGUCCCUACUUUUCCAAAUGUGGCUAUCAAUUAGUGGCAUUUGAUAAAGGAUAUAUCUGCAGCAAGAAGGUAAAGUUUAGUAAUAAGAAUAUCAGUCAUCCCUUUCCUAAACUAUUGAGCAAACUCUCAGUUGCAUGUCUAACUUUGUUACACUUGAAUAGUUAGGCAAUAAUAAAAACACCUAAUUAUAUUUAUUCUGAGUAUCUGACUCACAUCUAUAGUUUAAAAGUAAAGAAUAAAAAAAAUAAUAAAGCACAUAGUAGAUGCUUUGAAUCUUUUAUUCAAUAUUUUUUUUUUUAACUAAGGAUCCCCUGAAUUUUUGACAAAUGUAAUUAUUUCUAUUAUUGCCUAAUUAUGGAACAGUAUUUUAGAAAGUGUUGGACAUGCAAAUGAGAGUUUGCUCAACAGUUAAAGGAAGGGAUGACUGAUAUUAAUUUAUUUGAACUGCAUAUUUUUUUACUUUUUUAAUGUUGGUCUUUAAUUUUCAAAACUGAUAUGCUUUACUUAACCCCAUGGUGUAAGGUGUCUGUUCUUAUUUGAUGAAUACCAAUAUGCAGAAAAUGUUAGUUAAAUAAAAGCUGCAAUUCUUGUUAUAUAUUUAUGGCCUACAAGGAAUGUACUAUUUUUGAUAAUAUAUAUAUAUAUAUAUUUAUGGCGCAUGUGAAAUGCAUUAUUUUUGUCAACACUUUAUGCCCUUCCUGGAAUGUACAAUAUUUGUUAAUACAUAUCAGUGCUCCUGGAAUGUAUUUUUGUUAAUAUAUACUAAUUUAUGGCCUACUUGGAAUGUACUAUUUUUGUUAAUACAUAUUUUAUACCCUUCCUUGAAUAUAUUAUUUUUGUUAAUAUACAUUCAAACCAUUCUUAGAAUGUACUUAUUUUGUUGAUAUAUAUUUAUGGCCUUCAUGAAAUGUACUAUUUUUAAUAUAUACUAUUUAUACCCAACCUUGAAUGUACUAUUUUUUUGUUAAUAUGGGCUAUUUGUGCACUAUCUGAUUAUGUACUAUUUCUGUUUCUUAAUACAUAUAUCUUACUGAGAGUAUAUUAUUUUUGAUAUAAUAAAUUUCUCUAUAUUAACAGCUGCUUUGAAUAUAGACCUUUCAUUAUCAUCACAAUGACAUUAACUAAAAGUGCUAUGUAAGUAGUUAGGAGGUGACUUUUUCAUGUACAUUUCUAUGUGGUUUUCACGUUAUUUCUGGUCUACAGAUCUAUGUUGAUUUCACACUAUAUGUAACAUUACUGCAACGAUGGUGCAAUAUGAUGAUCACGUGGUGACCACGUAGAUGUGUUUGCUGGGUUGGAGCUCAAGGCCAUUCAUCUGAGUCUGGCUCACUUUGCAGCAUACUUUCACAGCAAGACAGUGGUGGUGUUCUCAAACAAUGCCAAAGCCCUGUCGUACCUGGCCAAAGGAGGCAGGACUCGUUCCAGGAUGCUCAAUGAGGAGGCACAAGGGAUCCUUCAAUAGGUAGAAGAUCAUGCCAUUCAGAUCCUAACCCAGUUUAUGAACGGGUUGUCCAAUGUCCUGGCAGACUGCCUCAGCAAACAGGCAUAUACUUUCCACAGAAUGGACACUUCAUCAGAAUGUCUGCAGUCAGCUCUUGAGGCUUUGGAGUUAUCCAAUCGUGGAUUUGUACACAUCAAGGCUCAACUCUCAACUUCCAAAUCUCAUUUCUCUGUUCCAAGAUCCAAUGGAAAUAGUCAAGGAUGCUUUCCUGUACAGCUGGAAUCAUUAGGAAUUGUACACCUUUUCCCCCUUCCCGCUGAUCAGGAAGGUUCUCAACAAGCUGAGGUUUACCUGUCAUGCCAACCUCAUCCUGAUUGCACCAUUCUGUCCAUAGAGAGAAUGGUUUCUAGAUCUUAAACAGGCCUCAGUGGACACUCCUUGGCACCAUCUGCAGCACAGAGACUUUCUUUGUUAGCCACACGCUUGCAAGUUCCAUUAGGCUCUACCCAUGCUACGUGAAAACUGUCAAGUGAGUCCUCAGACACCGAGGCUAUUCUUCUGGAGUUAUGAAAUGGCAAAAUGGCAAAAUCUAAAUGACCUCCUACACUUAUGAACUACCAAUAUAAGUGGAAGAGGUUCA
Molecule: long non-coding RNA, 8601 nt
Organism: Scylla paramamosain (green mud crab)
Lineage: Eukaryota; Metazoa; Arthropoda; Malacostraca; Decapoda; Portunidae
Exons: 4
Source: RefSeq, a predicted model, not a curated record